CAAGUCGAGGGGCAUCAGUUUGGUUUGCUUGCAAACCAAAGCUGGCGACCGGCGCACGGGUGAGUAACACGUAUCCAACCUGCCUCAUACUCGGGGAUAGCCUUUCGAAAGAAAGAUUAAUAUCCGAUAGCAUAUAUUUCCCGCAUGGGUUUUAUAUUAAAGAAAUUCGGUAUGAGAUGGGGAUGCGUUCCAUUAGUUUGUUGGCGGGGUAACGGCCCACCAAGACUACGAUGGAUAGGGGUUCUGAGAGGAAGGUCCCCACAUUGGAACUGAGACACGGUCCAAACUCC
RNAcentral lists this ribosomal RNA (290 nucleotides) under uncultured Bacteroides sp. RNAcentral describes it as "partial 16S ribosomal RNA". It matches the Rfam family "Bacterial small subunit ribosomal RNA", at positions 58 to 339 of the family's 1533-position model. Lineage: Bacteria; Pseudomonadati; Bacteroidota; Bacteroidia; Bacteroidales; Bacteroidaceae. The record is from RNAcentral.